Molecule: unclassified non-coding RNA, 544 nt
Filed under: Hevea brasiliensis (rubber tree)
Lineage: Eukaryota; Viridiplantae; Streptophyta; Magnoliopsida; Malpighiales; Euphorbiaceae
Source: RNAcentral
CAAAGUAAAUCUUGCUCAACAGGAAGAGUUACCAUAAAUUCCAGCUGGGACUGCUCGGCAGAUGUGAAAGCAUCGAGGACCAUCAGGAACAAAGAAAAGUUAAAACAAAGCCGCGGAUAGCAAAAAAGUAUCCAACAAAUGCAGGGAAAUGCAAUAAGAAUUUUGUUGUUAGCCAAAAGAAAUUUUGAUGCAGAAAAAAAGGGUGUUAAAAAUCAUAUUGCAAAAUAUUAAAUUAAUUUUCCCAUUCCAGUCGUAUUAUAUUACAGCAUGCCAUUUGUUCCUUUGGAUUAAUCACAUUUCCCGUCUGCCUUCCCUCUCUUACCCACAAAGAGAUUGAAGUUAACUCUUACUGACUUAAUGGUAGUCUAGAAAUAAACAGUCAACAACAACAACAACAAAAAUGUAGGGAUCAAUUUAGAACAAGAGAGCAGUGAAUAAUAUUUGAUAGAGAACAAACGUAAGCCUAAAGCCAGAAGCGCCAUGAGAUAUCAAAGUUCACUCAAAACCAACUACAAUACCUAAUUCCCCUGGACUAAUGGCAAUA